This 377-nucleotide ribosomal RNA is filed under the name uncultured bacterium. RNAcentral's name for it is "bacterial SSU rRNA". It matches the Rfam family "Bacterial small subunit ribosomal RNA", at positions 523 to 898 of the family's 1533-position model. The record is from RNAcentral.
ACACGUAGGGGGCGAGCGUUGUCCGGAAUUACUGGGCGUAAAGGGCGCGUAGGCGGUCUAAUAAGUCAGAUGUGAAACCCCCGGGCUUAACCCUGGGCUUGCAUUUGAAACUGUUGGACUUGAGGACAGGAGAGGAAAGCGGAAUUCCCAGUGUAGCGGUGAAAUGCGUAGAUAUUGGGAGGAACACCAGUGGCGAAGGCGGCUUUCUGGACUGCCCCUGACGCUGAGGCGCGAAAGCCAGGGUAGCGAACGGGAUUAGAUACCCCGGUAGUCCUGGCCGUAAACGAUGGAUACUAGGUGUGGGAGGUAUCGACCCCUUCCGUGCCGUAGCCAACGCACUAAGUAUCCCGCCUGGGGAGUACGGCCGCAAGGCUGAA